GUGUGUUGCUGGUGGGCAACAGGAGGAGGACUGUGUUGCAAAACUGGGCUGAUGAAGAGCAGAAUUUGAGGGGUGGGGAUGCAGGGGAUGGGGUAUAAAGCGCCUGCACUUGUGCAUCUACACACUGAGCUGCCAUCGUCUUCCUCUCUGCAGCUCCCUCUGAGAAUGUCAAAAGGCCAGGCAGCGGAUAAAGAACCUCACCUUGCUCACCUUCACCUCGAGGACGCAAUUAUAUGCAACCAACUUAUCACAGGUAAGGCAACAUGUUGAACCAAAGGCACAGAUGCAUUGAAGUGAAAUGAAUGGAUAUGGAAGCUCCUCAGCACAAGGACAUGUCAGCUGUAAGAACAAAGAACUGCUAAGUCCUUCUCACCAGCCCUGAGGAUCCAACUAAUGCUUCAGCCUCCUCAUGACUCAUCAGCAGGAUGAUGUAUUUGCACUCCAAACCCCUGCCAGUUUCAUGUUCGCAUUCAUCCUCAUUCUCAACAAGACGCAUAGCUUCAUAACAAGCAGUCACAGCUGCUCAGAGCGUCCAACAGAGCUGAAAAAAAUCCCUUUUUAUAUAACAUUAUUGGGUUUCCAACAUGGGCAACAAGAAGGGGAGAAGGCAGCAUGAAGAGGAAGGAAUAAAGCAGAGAGGUCACAUGUUCACAGCGAGACAACAGAGAAGAAGAGCAGCUCAAACAUGGGAUAUUGGAGACAUGAUGAUUUAAGGAGAUUCUGUUUUAACACAAAGCCCAGCAACAUGGUGGGUGUGUUUCCCACAUUAACUGGAUUCAUGGUGGUGAACAGAGAGGAACCAGUUUGUCCUCCCCACACUACAAGGACAAACUCUGAAAUCGCUCUGGUCUUUCCUAACACCUGGUGAGAAGAGAACAGAGCUUCUCAGCUUCAGAUGCUCAAAAAAUCAUCAAGAGAAGGGUUUUCUGACUUAAUGCAGCAUGUCUUUAUUCCUGGUGAUCACUGCUGGUCAAUGAAAAUGUCAAACAAACAGUCAUUCAAUAAAUCCAUUCAAUAAGUUCAUUUAUUCCAGUAAGUCCAUCACUAAGUGAAACAUGUAGUGAUUUAUUUAAUGUUUUCAAGCAUUUAUUUCUGUUAAUUAUGAUGAUUUUCUUCCAACAUCAUAAUAUUAAUAUCCUGAUCCAUUGAACGAGUCUUUUUUAGAAAUAGAAACUGGAAAAAUGAAGCAUGCAAUUUAAUUCAAGUCACUUCUGUGUCAAGAUGUUGCAGAACCACCUUUAGCUGGAGUUCCAGCUGCAGGUCUUUUCUGGAGGUCGAUACAAAUGUUUGGCUGGUUCUUCUUUGUUAGUUGCUCAGAGUCCAUCUGUCACUCCGUCGGACUGGACCUUGACUGGGCUACUCUAACACAAGCAUGGGUACCAUCUGAACCAGGGGUGUCAAACACCAGGUGUGUUGGACCAGAUGUGUCUCUGGUACCUCCCAGUAUCUCCUCAGGAUUCAGCCAGGUUCUACAGAGUUCUGCUGAUGGACUAAUCAUUUGGUUCAUUCUGGUGUGUUGAAGAGAGACGCAUCUAAAAGCUGAAGGACUGUUGUUUGACACCUGUCUAUCUCCCCAUCAACUCUGACCAGACUCCCUGUCCCUCUUGUGGAAGAGUAUUCCCACAGCAUGAUGCUGCCGCCAUCAUGUUUCACUGUGCAGGUGGUGUGUAUUGAAUAGUGCUCUGUCAUAUGUAACUUGGGAUAUUGUUUUAUAACUAAACCUUGCUUUACCUUGGGCCAUCGGUACCGUCGUAUGCUCCAACAGUGACGUUGCGGAAAAGCUUCCUCUUGGCCUUCUCACUCCGCGUCUCUAAAACACACAUCCAGGGAAAACAUAUGUUAAAACUACCAGCUUGCCCAUGACACUGUCUUUUUGCACGUUUGUCAACGCAACACAAAAGAGACAAAGAUAUUUACAGCGUAUUGCUGUGUCCUCGGUGCUGUACAUGGAUGGGAACUGUUGCAGAAGUGUGUUUCUGCGCUGGAAAUAGGCCAAUACGUACAUGCUUUCUGGUGAAUUUGUAUUUUGUGUUUGGUGUUGCUUUUAUUAUAAAAAAAGAGACAAAAUCUUGA
Long non-coding RNA from Girardinichthys multiradiatus, 2073 nucleotides. RefSeq lists it as uncharacterized. NCBI's taxonomy places the organism in Eukaryota, Metazoa, Chordata, Actinopteri, Cyprinodontiformes, Goodeidae. The transcript is spliced from 2 exons. The record is from RefSeq and is a predicted model, not a curated record.